Molecule: ribosomal RNA, 491 nt
Filed under: uncultured bacterium
Lineage: Bacteria
Description: bacterial SSU rRNA
Rfam family: Bacterial small subunit ribosomal RNA
Source: RNAcentral
GGCUCAGAUUGAACGCUGGCGGCAUGCUUUACACAUGCAAGUCGAACGGUAACAGGCCGCAAGGUGCUGACGAGUGGCGAACGGGUGAGUAAUGCAUCGGAACGUGCCCAGUCGUGGGGGAUAACGUAGCGAAAGUUACGCUAAUACCGCAUACGAUCUAAGGAUGAAAGCGGGGGACUCGCAAGAGCCUCGCGCGAUUGGAGCGGCCGAUAUCAGAUUAGGUAGUUGGUGGGGUAAAGGCUCACCAAGCCAACGAUCUGUAGCUGGUCUGAGAGGACGACCAGCCACACUGGAACUGAGACACGGUCCAGACUCCUACGGGAGGCAGCAGUGGGGAAUUUUGGACAAUGGACGCAAGUCUGAUCCAGCCAUUCCGCGUGCAGGAUGAAGGCCCUCGGGUUGUAAACUGCUUUUGUACGGAACGAAAAGGUUUCUCUUAAUACGAGGAGCUCAUGACGGUACCGUAAGAAUAAGCACCGGCUAACUACGUG